AAGACGGGAGAGAAGGAAGAGGCGGAACCAGCGCCAUUAGUCAGAAAAGAAAAAGAGAAAAGAAGCCAAGUGAAAAAUAAAUCAGAGAAAAUGAAGAAGAAGAGGGAAGCGAAAGAAAAUUUUCGUUGAAGAAGACGAAGAAGAAAUAGAAGAGACAAAACGAAUAAGAAGCUUAGAGAAGAAGAAAGGCCGUCAUAUCGAACCGUCGCGUCGAAGCGAGUUUUGAGGCAGGCUAUAAUGAUGAAUAGACGGCGGUAAUUAAGAUGACCUAGUUAAUGCCGCAGAUGAGACAAAAUGAGGAUUGAAAUCAGGCCGUAAGAAAGAAAAUAAACGGCUUAGAUUGAACGGUACAGAGGGUCACGCCUUGGAUUACGUCAGGUACUGGUACAGAGAUUUUGAAUGUGAUUGGACCGAAAACGACGCCUCGAAUCGCACUGGUUAUUGAAACAAUUACAGGAUUUCGGCAAGCAGAAAAAGGAACGGCUGAGAUGAAACCAUAUCGGGAAGCAAAAAGUAAUCGCGACUCAGGCCACGCCAGCUACCGAAGUGUUACUUCGAAAGCUGCCGAGGGGGCAAUUGUUGAGCCAAUUAGGCGCGGGCGAGUGGGAUGCUGGUAUUCCCUUCAAAAGCAUCUAUUCGGUCAUGCACCGGGAGCACCAAAAAAGUGUAAAGGAAACCAAAUCGCGCCAAUUGAAGGAAGUUACGGUAACCGCAAGCAGUUACAUGCGGUUCCGAUCGGCUGGAGGUGGUCCGGAAUAUGAGGAGAUAAUGGUCGAUCGUGUAAGAGCAAUAAUUGAUCAGGGGGGCGAUCUAUAAAUAGGGUAAUAACACCCUAAAAAGAGGUCUUUUCCCUGCGAACAAAAGACCACCCUUAUUUUUUUGCAUCUUUCUUCCCUACAUUUACCGCUUUUUCUAGGAGUAGUUCCUGUAAUUUA
RNAcentral lists this long non-coding RNA (935 nucleotides) under Ananas comosus (pineapple). RNAcentral describes it as "long non-coding RNA (ACOM_LNC022146)". Lineage: Eukaryota; Viridiplantae; Streptophyta; Magnoliopsida; Poales; Bromeliaceae. The record is from RNAcentral.